Molecule: long non-coding RNA, 1742 nt
Filed under: Canis lupus familiaris (dog)
Lineage: Eukaryota; Metazoa; Chordata; Mammalia; Carnivora; Canidae
Description: lncRNA (ENSCAFG00000052523.1)
Source: RNAcentral
AUAUCUGUGAAAAAUGUCAUUGGGAUUUUCAUAGGGAUUGCAUUGAGUCUAUAGGUUGCCUUGGGUAGAAUUGAUAUCUCAACAAUAUUAUAUCUUCCAAUCCAUGAACAUGGAAUGUGUUUAUUUAUUUAUUUAUUUAUUUAUUUAUUUAUUUAUUUAUUUAUCUUUAAUUUUGUUCUGCAAUGUUUUGCAGUUUUCACUGUGAGUCUUUAAUCUCCUAGGUUAAUUCCUAAGUAUUUUAUUCUUUCCGAUGCUAUUCUAAAUAAGAUCAUUUUCAUGAUUUCCUUUUCAGCUUGUUCAUUGUUAACAUAUAGACAUGCAACUGACUUCUGUGGGUUGACUUUGCAUACUCGUUACUUUGAGGAAUUCACUUACCAGUCCUAACAGUUUUUUGUGUAGGAUCUUCAAGGUUUUCUCCAUCCCAUCAUUUGUGAAAAGAGUUCAUUCUAAUUCUUCUAUUACAAUUUGGAUGAUGUAUUUCUUUUCUUGCCUAAUCGCCCUGGCUAGGACUUCCAGUACUAUGUCAAAUAGAAGUGGUGAGAGUGGGCAUCCUUGCUUUCUUCCUGAUCUUAGUGGAAAAGUUUCCAGUCUUUCACCAUUGAGUAUAAUUUUCACCAUGGGUUUUUCAUAGAUGGCUUUUAUUAUUGUUCAGAUAGGGAUCCACAAGGACCUGCCAUAUACCUGUCCCCAAUCUCCAAUGCCAACGCCAAGGCAAGCAGGGCAGGUAUAAUGACAUUCUAAAGAUGGAGAGUCUGUUUCAGUCAUCUAAGUAGAAGCUGAGAGAUUGUUGAAAUUAUUUCAGAGUGCUACAUUGCCUUUUGUUGAAACCCCAUGCAAUGAUAAGGGAAUGGUUACAGAAAAAUAAAUAAAUAUUUCAUUUGCACAUUGAUGUAUUAUAUGAGUAAAUUUACCACACUACUCACAGUAAUGCUUUGUAUGUUGUUCAUUUGGACAAUGCUCAAAACAUUUUAAGGCAAGUGUAUCCUGAAUCACAUGGAUAGCUAGCUACAUUUGGACUGAGUAAUGUCACGUUGUAAAACCACAUUGCCACUAAGAACUUUGUUUUGUUUUGUUUUUUAAUUGAGGUAUAAUUGACACAUAACAUUAUAUUAAUUUAAGGUAUAUUUUAAUUGUUUUAGAUAACAGACAAAAAGAGAAGGAAAUUGGUAUUUGUGUUUUUAGGCAUUCAACAAAUAAUUGCCAAGCAUAUGCGGGCACUGUACGAAGUGCUUGGGAUCCAACAAUAGAGAAAUAGAUGGGUGGAUAGGAAAGGAGAGGACAGAUAGAUAGACAGAUAGACAUCAAGAUGUACAGAUGAAGAGUUAGAUACAUAGUCAUAGGUAAAUAUAUAGGAACUUAGAUACAUAUACAAAUUCUGUUAGAUUUUGAUUGAUGUAUAUAAAAAUUUGAGUGGAAUAAUACUAAUAAGGAUUGCCCAUACAGGGACUGGAGAAAGUUGUUUUCAUCAUUAUGCAUCAAAAACUCUACAUCGGGUGGUCAUGUAGGAGCACUGUGAUAAAGGGACAUUAGAGCAAGGAUCCUGAAAAGGGAGGGCAUGAGCUGAGAACAUCUACCUGGUGAACUGGUAUGUUUCCCCACUCCUACUUUGCACAUUUUUUUAUUUUCCUUAUGGUGUAUUUGGCAUAUUUAAAGCAUAAAGUUGUAUAUUUUUAAAUUUAUCUGAUCUAUAAGCCUCUGUCUUUACCCAACAAAUUCAAUCUGUUUACAUUUCUGAGGUUGCU